RNAcentral lists this long non-coding RNA (1306 nucleotides) under Coturnix japonica (Japanese quail). RNAcentral describes it as "lncRNA (ENSCJPG00005008391.1)". Lineage: Eukaryota; Metazoa; Chordata; Aves; Galliformes; Phasianidae. The record is from RNAcentral.
AUUAUAUUUUGUUAACUACAUUGUUGAAAUAUGAGAACUGCUCUGAAAGUAAUGUCUCCUUUUUUACUUUGUCAGCCCACCACAUCAGAUGUGGAUGUCGGUAAGAUGGAAGUAGAGGUUGAACCUUUCCACCAAUAUUCCAUUACAUGCUGUUGCCAUGUGACAGAUGGCAGCAGAGGAGCAGUCUGACAGAAUGGGGUCUGACAUGGAAAUACAUAUGAAACAAAGAUGUGUCAUUGAAUUCCUCCAUGGGGAAGAAAUGAUGCCCAAUGACAUUCAUUGAUGCUUGCUGAACAUAAUGGAGACCAAACAGAAGAUGAGAGUACAGUGAGGUGGUGAGUAGUGAAACAGUGUGAAAUGGUGGGUCACCUCCGCUGGUGCAGAUAUUUGCAAGUAUAGCUCACAGACUCUUGUUCACUCCUGGUGAAAAUGUGUAGCUAAUGGUGGUGAUUAUGUUGAAAAAUAGUGUUUUGUAGCUGAGAAUUUGCUCUAUCAAAUAGUGUUGUGCUUUUUACAUCUGUUGUAGUUUCCAGAGAAAUAAAUAGGAGGCAGUACUUUUGGAGAGACCUGUGUAUAUUUUAAUAUCAACACCAAAGCAUGAUGAAAGACAAUCUUAAGACUCCCAUUUACUGUUAUUCAUUUUGAGGCAGCUUCUAACACCACCAACAGCAAUUUCAUAAAGUUUUCAGGUUGAUUUGAAGAGUAUGUUUCCUUUAAAUACAGCCUAUCUUACAAACUACAAGGACAAAUUCAUAUACAGGUACUUAGCUGUUUCUGCUGGACUGUGGACUCCCUGGAAUGUAGCAACGUCCUGUGAAGGUGAUAGCCAGUUGUUAGAAGGUAUUUGGCUUUUCUGCUGCUAUAACCAUGACUGCUUCUUUGCUACUUUUCCAUUGUCUAAUCAGCAGAGAAUUGUUAACAGGUUGUACAAUUUCUGUGCAAGAAAGUUCACGUGGAUCUAAAUAAAUCAAAGUGCCCUCUGUUAUAAGUGAAUCAAAAUCAAGCCUCUUGUUAAGUAAAAAAUGUUUUUGCAUUUCUUUGUCCAUUUUCUUUAAUCUUUCUUAUAUCCUUCACUCUGACACUGCCUGACUUGUUCUGUGAUCUCAGUCAAGCUAAAAGGUAAUGCUCUUUUCUCAUUCUUUUACUUCAGAAACAUUUUCUUAGUAAACUGUACUCUUGUCUCUGUGUGCUAUGUUAUCUUGUACCUUUCAAUACUCCUUUUCGUUUCUUGUCUUGGAUGGAGGGCCUAAUAGGUUCUGUGCCAGAUGCCAAAAUAAUCACUGCACCCACAUCAUAAUCUUUCCUG